Molecule: ribosomal RNA, 253 nt
Filed under: uncultured bacterium
Lineage: Bacteria
Description: partial 16S ribosomal RNA
Rfam family: Bacterial small subunit ribosomal RNA
Source: RNAcentral
GACGAGCCACACAAACGUUAUUCGGAAUCACUGGGCUUAAAGGGUGCGUAGGCGGCGCGGAAAGUUGGGUGUGAAAUCCCUCGGCUUAACCGAGGAAUUGCGCCCAAAACUACCGUGCUCGAGGAAGACAGAGGUGAGCGGAACUUAGGGUGGAGCGGUGAAAUGCGUUGAUAUCCUAAGGAACACCCGUGGCGAAAGCGGCUCACUGGGUCUUUUCUGACGCUGAGGCACGAAAGCUAGGGGAGCGAACGGG